Molecule: ribosomal RNA, 529 nt
Filed under: [Candida] sp. EN28S10
Lineage: Eukaryota; Fungi; Ascomycota; Saccharomycetes; Saccharomycetales
Description: eukaryotic LSU rRNA
Rfam family: 5.8S ribosomal RNA (bases 154-307)
Source: RNAcentral
GCGCUUUACUGCGCGGCCACAACCUCUACACAGUGAAGUAAUUUGUUGCUUUAGGUGCUUUGGGAGGACGUCUGUCCGCCCAGGGUCACCCCCUAACCACAUUUUUUAAUGUUGAUUUCCAAGUAAAUGUCAGAUUUAUUACUACUAAAUCAAAACUUUCAACAACGGAUCUCUUGGUUCUCGCAACGAUGAAGAACGCAGCGAAUUGCGAUAAGUAUUGUGAAUUGCAGAUUUUCGUGAAUCAUCGAAUCUUUGAACGCACAUUGCACCCUCUGGUAUUCCGGAGGGUAUGCCUGUUUGAGCGUCAUUUCUCUCUCAAGGAGCCUGGCUUCUUGGUGUUGGGCGGUACCGUGCAGCAAGUACGGUUAGCCUGAAAUAGUUUUGGCAGGAGUGUCUAAGGAGGCUCCUUCUGGCAUAAUGUAUUAGGUUCUACCAACUCGUUAUCAGGAAGGGAAGCACGCCCUAGAGCCCACCCGGUCUAACAACCAAUGACACAAAGCUUGACCUCAAAUCAGGUAGGACUACCCGC